GACGAACGCUGGCGGCGUGCCUAAUACAUGCAAGUAGAACGCUGAAGGAGGAGCUUGCUUCUCUGGAUGAGUUGCGAACGGGUGAGUAACGCGUAGGUAACCUGCCUGGUAGCGGGGGAUAACUAUUGGAAACGAUAGCUAAUACCGCAUAAUAGUAGAUGUUGCAUGACAUUUGCUUAAAAGGUGCAAUUGCAUCACUACCAGAUGGACCUGCGUUGUAUUAGCUAGUUGGUGGGGUAACGGCUCACCAAGGCGACGAUACAGAGCCGACCUGGGGGGGUGAUCGGCCAAACUGGGACUGAGACACGGCCCAGACUCCUACGGGAGGCAGCAGUAGGGAAUCUUCGGCAAUGGACGGAAGUCUGACCGAGCAACGCCGGGUGAGUGAAGAAGGUUUUCGGAUCGUAAAGCUCUGUUGUAAGAGAAGAACGAGUGUGAGAGUGGAAAGUUCACGCUGUGACGGUAUCUUACCAGAAAGGGACGGCUAACUACGUG
This 495-nucleotide ribosomal RNA is filed under the name uncultured bacterium. Its description in RNAcentral is "partial 16S ribosomal RNA". It matches the Rfam family "Bacterial small subunit ribosomal RNA", at positions 28 to 507 of the family's 1533-position model. The record is from RNAcentral.